GACGAACGCUGGCGGCGUGCUUAACACAUGCCAGUCGAACGGAAAGGCCCUGCUUUUGUGGGGGGCUCGAGUGGCGAACGGGUGAGUAACACGUGAGUGACCUGCCCUGGACUUUGGGAUAACGUCAGAAAACUGGGGCUAAUACCGGAUAGGAGCUCCUGCUGCAUGGUGGGGGUUGGAAAUUUUCGGCUGUUGGGGGUGGACGCGCGGCUUAUCAGCUUGUGGGUGGGGUAGUUGCUUACCCAGGCUUUGGAGGGUAGCCGGCCUGAGAGGGUGGACGGCCACAUGGGGACUGAGAGACGGCCCAGACUCCUACGGGGGGCAGCAGUGGGGAAUAUGGCACAAUGGGGGGAAGCCUGAGGCAGCAACGCCGCGUGCGGGAUGAAGGCCUUGCGGUUGUAAAACGCAUUCGCCUGUGACGACGCGUGAGUGACGGUAAUGGGUAAAGAAGCACCGGCUAACUACGUG
This 468-nucleotide ribosomal RNA is filed under the name uncultured bacterium. Its description in RNAcentral is "partial 16S ribosomal RNA". It matches the Rfam family "Bacterial small subunit ribosomal RNA", at positions 28 to 507 of the family's 1533-position model. The record is from RNAcentral.